Molecule: ribosomal RNA, 253 nt
Filed under: uncultured bacterium
Lineage: Bacteria
Description: partial 16S ribosomal RNA
Rfam family: Bacterial small subunit ribosomal RNA
Source: RNAcentral
UACGGAGGAUGCAAGCGUUAUCCGGAAUAAUUGGGCGUAAAGCGUCCGUAGGUGGCUGUUCAAGUCUGCCGUUAAAGACCGGGGCUUAACCCUGGAAAGGCGGUGGAAACUGAGCGGCUAGAGUCCGGAAGAGGCGAGUGGAAUUCCUGGUGUAGCGGUGGAAUGCGCAGAUAUCAGGAGGAACACCGAUGGCGAAGGCAGCUCGCUGGGACGGUACUGACGCUGAGGCGCGAAAGCGUGGGGAGCGAACAGG